UACGUAGGGAGCAAGCGUUGUCCGGAAUCAUUGGGCGUAAAGCGCGCGUAGGCGGCCCUGUAAGUCCGUUGUGAAAGUCAAAGGCUCAACCUUUGAAAGCCGAUGGAUACUGCAGGGCUAGAGUCCGGAAGAGGCGAGUGGAAUUCCUGGUGUAGCGGUGGAAUGCGCAGAUAUCAGGAGGAACACCAAUAGCGAAGGCAGUUCGCUGGGACGGUACUGACGCUAAGGCGCGAAAGCGUGGGGAGCGAACAGG
Molecule: ribosomal RNA, 253 nt
Filed under: uncultured bacterium
Lineage: Bacteria
Description: partial 16S ribosomal RNA
Rfam family: Bacterial small subunit ribosomal RNA
Source: RNAcentral